CAAAAGCCCAGAGACCUAACAGGUAUCUGAAAUUCCACUUCUUCAUUUUAUUUAGCCAAUUUUCUCAUGCCAUGGAGAGGUCAACAGUCAGGUACCUUCUGUGUUGGACACUGUCAAGCCUUGUUUGCUGUGAUUAGAAGGUCCCAGGAGAAAGCUGGUGAGUUUUUGGCAGUUUGUGGCAAACGAGAGAGCUACAGCUGCAGAGCAGUUGUUGUCAUAACACCUAUUCAUCAUUAUCCCUCUCAUCAUGAAUCACCUCCUGAUAACCAACCUCUCUUUGUUUACAUCCAACAUAUCUAGAAAGCCCGUGUUUGCUUCCAGGGCUCACAUCUCUACCUGGGAAAAGCCUGGCUGAUUUCAUGCCAGUAUUCCUUUCCCAAAACCAGAAAAUUCUCGAUGUCUCCCUGCUGAGAGAACGGGGACAGCUUUUCAAAUGUUUUGUUCGCUUCCACUUAAAAUUCAACCAGAGUAUCUAAAUUAGGAAUGCUGCUACAUUCCAGCUUAGAAAGCAGCAGUGCUCUGUUAUAAAGAGGGGCUCCGUCUCCUUCUGCUUAUUCAGAAGCAUGUUUUUUGGGUUUGAGCGGUCCACUCAUUUAGGUGGAAGGCUUGGUCAGGGGCCUGUGUUGUGCCCUUCCUCCAGCAUCCGGUACAGUGUGGAGCACCAUGUCAGCGACACACUAAUACACAAGAAUAAUCAGCUCAUCAAAUCAGCUUCAUUAGUUGGAGCUGGAGAGCACAGCUCUGCUGCCCAGCCCCGCAGACACGCAGCCUGCCUCCCUGCUCCAUCUGCCACAGCCGAGCAUGAGGGGUCUGCCCAUUCGGCUGCUUGCACAGAAGUGAGAAAGCCUAGGACACCGGGGUAUCAGUGUGUGCAUGUUCUGCCUGACACAAGUCACCAGGGAAUGGCUGCUCCUCCCCUGUCUCUCACAGCAAGGUGAUGAAAAGCUACCCGGUAGCACAGAAUGGAGAAAGCAACUGGAAGAUCUGGCCACACAGGAAAGGGAGUGAGUAACAGCAAGAAAAGCAUUUGGGUGGACAAAGCAGGGGACAAAGUGAAAUGGAAGGUAAAUCAGAUGAGGCAGCCAGACAGGAGUGAGAGUGAUGGGGUGGGGUGAAGGGCUAGGCCAGCAGGAAAGGCAGUCUGGG
RNAcentral lists this long non-coding RNA (1146 nucleotides) under Meleagris gallopavo (turkey). Its description in RNAcentral is "lncRNA (ENSMGAG00000020704.1)". Lineage: Eukaryota; Metazoa; Chordata; Aves; Galliformes; Phasianidae. The record is from RNAcentral.